Molecule: long non-coding RNA, 2442 nt
Organism: Cygnus olor (mute swan)
Lineage: Eukaryota; Metazoa; Chordata; Aves; Anseriformes; Anatidae
Exons: 2
Source: RefSeq, a predicted model, not a curated record
CCUGGCACUGAGCGCUGCUGAGAAGUGCCUGGCUCUGUCCUCUUUGCACCCUGCCUUCAGGGAUUUAUACACACUAAUGAAUCUCCCCCUGGGCCCCCUCUUCUCCAGGCUGAACAGCCCCAGCUCUCUCACACUCCCCUCAUGGAAGAGAUGCCCCAGCCCCUCCAUCACUUGGUGGCCCUACACUGGGCCUGUAGUCCAACCGGCCUGUAGUUCCCCAGGUCCUCCUCCUUGAAGACAGGAGUGAUGGUCUUCAUGCACUUCUCCCAGUCACCGCGAAUGAUCAAAGACGGUGCAUCCCUUCAGGGUCCGUGGACUUCCUUAACUUUCAGUCAAAAACGUUCAGUUUUUCAUUACUUCCAGUUUACUUUGGUAUUCCCUGACCCUGUCCUCUUCCACCAAGAGUACAUCUUCUUUGCUCCGGCCUUUCCUCCUGGUCUCUGGGACCCAGGAUUCCCAAAUGCCUGAAUGCACGCCAAGGCCUGGGGAUGGAGCUGCACACCCCAACCACGACAUCUGGGUGCUCCAGGACUGCAAGACCAGCUGCACAACGUCCCCCGCAGCAACAAGGCCUUGGCCAGCACCUCGCAUCUGUGGCAUCCCGUAUCAGGUGAGUGCUUCAUCGAACAGCCCCUCAACAGCAGGUACUUCUCUGCCCCCACACCGUGCCCUGCUCACCAGCCCCUUCCCAAGCAGUCCAAAGGGUCAGCCCUCGCGGCCCUGCUGUCCACCCACUCUGGCCCACCCACCGGCUCUGGGACCCUCAGGGUGGAAGCUGGGCAGGUCUCAUUUCACAAGAGGUGAGGGCGAUGGAAAGAGACGUCGGAAGGUUUCCUCUCUCUGCCACAUCACGCCCAGACAUCCCCCACCCUCCGGGGUACACAUAUCGGUGCAGGAAGCUGCCUCUGAUCCCCAUUCAUUGAUGCUGAGUUUUCCCUAAGAUGACCCCUCCUGCGAAGCAUGGCCAAGACCCCAGAUCUGUGCACAAAAUGAUAACAUUUAUUGAAAGAGUAAUUUCUUUUUUUUUUUUUUUAAUACAAAAGAAAGCUCUGUACAUAGUACUGUGAUUACUUCCACAUCCUUCCAGAAACACAACCCUGGAAACUGGAGGGGAAAAAAAAAAUCCCACACACACUUAUGCACACACACGCGCGCACACAUGCACACACACACACGCGCACACACACAACCCUCAAACCAGUAAAAUGAACUAAAAAUGUCACCACACAAUAAAUGCCAUUUCGUCCCUGAUACACAAGUGUUCUUACAAGUCUGCACUUAAAUAAAAUACACCAUUAGCGUUUAACCAGCAGUUGCCUUUGGGUAACGAGGGAGGGGAUGCAGCAAGACGCCCCCGCAAUGGCACUCCUGCCACCCCGGCCCCGCAGCCCUGCUCCACAGUGCCAGCACAAGCAAAGCGGAGCAAAGCACGGCCCCGGCGAUGUGCUUGGGACAAGGGUAACGCGAGCCCCAAGCCCACCUUUCUCUCCCUGGGUGAACUCCUAGCUACUCAGCCUUCUCUUUCGGAAGCAGCACCGAGCGGCUUUCUUAGAGCUUCUGGUGCGGCGCUCCCGCACGCUCUGAGCUGCGGGGGACAUGCGGCUCAGGGCGAGGAUGCUAAGGGGAGGCAGCGUGCAACAUCACGGUCACCAGACGGGCCACUAUGAGCCUGCCACAGGCUGCAUGGCAGAACCAGGGCUGGCUACCCAAGGGAGCUCUCUGCACAGAGGGACAUGGAAGGAACCUGUCCACAUCUGUGCACUAAGGAGCAGCGCAAGCUGAGGCUGUAGGGAGGGAAAGUAGAGCCCAGGUCAUCAGCUAGAAGUUCAAGAGGUGCCACCUGCACCACGAGCAGGGAGAGCGGCCACUGCUGGUCACUCGCCCCCCAGAGAGGACUGGGGACGUCCCUUUGCUGCUCCACACCGACAGCGGUGACAGAACAGCCAGCGGCCCAGGACCAGAGGUGGAAGCGGCCACCAGAAAACCCAGCCCACCUCUGGCCACCGGGCACACCGCAAGCCCCUGUGCCCCCUCCUAGAGGCCAGCCGCUGCUUCACUUGCCUCCUGCCCCUUAAACCCGAAGUUAUAGGUAUGGAGUCCUCAGUGCAGGGAAGUAGGAAACAAUCGUCUGGCUCGGGUCAGCUCAGUCCCUGGCACGUGCUGGUGGGCAGAGAGCGCAGCUUAAACGCUAAUGCUGAGGGAACAUGUCCAAGGUUACAAUACAAACUCAAAAAGCAAGGCCCCCUUCCUGCCUCCAUGCCCACCCACCCCUCUCCCAUCCCCCUGGUACAAACCCCAUGAAAACUGUACAGGAGCCAAACUUUUAUUCCUUAAAGAAUUACAUAAAUACUGAGUUUAACACUUAGAAAAAUAAAGUCAUUUUCUUUUUUUUUUUUCUUUUUUUUUUUUUUUCUUUUUUUCCCCAAGGCUUCGUCUUUAACU